Molecule: ribosomal RNA, 301 nt
Filed under: uncultured bacterium
Lineage: Bacteria
Description: partial 16S ribosomal RNA
Rfam family: Bacterial small subunit ribosomal RNA
Source: RNAcentral
CAGCCGCCGCGGGAAUACGAAGGGGGCUAGCGUUGCUCGGAAUUACUGGGCGUAAAGGGCGCGUAGGCGGACAGUUCAGUCGGGGGUGAAAGCCCGGGGCUCAACCUCGGAAUUGCCUUCGAUACUGGCUGUCUUGAGUAUGAGAGAGGUGUGUGGAACUCCGAGUGUAGAGGUGAAAUUCGUAGAUAUUCGGAAGAACACCAGUGGCGAAGGCGACACACUGGCUCAUUACUGACGCUGAGGCGCGAAAGCGUGGGGAGCAAACAGGAUUAGAGACCCCUGUAGUCCCUGUCUCUUAUAC